UUACGGACUGAGAUAAUGGUUAACAGAGACAAACGGGGGCAUUCGUAUUGCUACGUGAGAGGUGAAAUUCUUGGACCGUAGCAAGACGAACUACAGCGAAAGCAUUUGCCAAGAAUGUCUUCAUUAAUCAAGAACGAAAGUCAGAGGUUCGAAGGCGAUCAGAUACCGCCCUAGUUCUGACCGUAAACGAUGCCAACUAGCGAUCCGCCGGUGGAUUCAUUGCCCUGGUGGGGAGCUUCCCGGAAACGAAAGUCUUCCGGUUCCGGGGGAAGUAUGGUUGCAAAGCUGAAACUUAAAGGAAUUGACGGAAGGGCACCACCAGGAGUGGAGCCUGCGGCUUAAUUGGACUCAACACGGGGAAACUCACCCGGCCCGGACACCGUAAGGAUUGACAGAUUGAUAGCUUUUUCAUGAUUCGGUGGAUGGUGGUGCAUGGCCGUUCUUAGUUCGUGGAGCGAUUUGUCUGGUUUAUUCCGAUAACGAGCGAGACUCUAGCCUACUAAAUAGUUCGCACAUUGUUUCUGUGUGUGUGACUUCUUAGAGGGAUUUUCGGUGUUCAGCCGCACGAAAUUGAGCAAUAACAGGUCUGUGAUGCCCUUAGAUGUCCGGGGCUGCACGCGCGCUACACUGGCAAAAUCAGCGUGCUUGUCCUUCCCCGAAAGGGGUUGGUAAACCCUUGAAAAUUUGCCGUGAUUGGGAUUGGAAAUUGCAAUUAUUUUCCAUGAACGAGGAAUUCCAAGUAAGUGCGAGUCAUCAGCUCGCGUUGAUUACGUCCCUGCCCUUUGUACACACCGCCCGUCGCUGCCCGGGACUGAGCCAUUUCGAGAAACUUGGGGACCGUGGAUUCGGUGGCUUUCGGGUCGCCGUUUUCGUGGGAACCAAUUUAAUCGCAGUGGCUUGAACC
This 904-nucleotide ribosomal RNA is filed under the name Tylenchorhynchus sp. YY-2015. RNAcentral's name for it is "SSU rRNA". It matches the Rfam family "Eukaryotic small subunit ribosomal RNA", at positions 850 to 1779 of the family's 1831-position model. Lineage: Eukaryota; Metazoa; Nematoda; Chromadorea; Rhabditida; Telotylenchidae. The record is from RNAcentral.